RNAcentral lists this long non-coding RNA (7678 nucleotides) under Canis lupus familiaris (dog). RNAcentral's name for it is "lncRNA (ENSCAFG00845026427.1)". Lineage: Eukaryota; Metazoa; Chordata; Mammalia; Carnivora; Canidae. The record is from RNAcentral.
UUUUUUUUUUUUUUUUGCUCCAUCCUAUUCAUGCAAUAUAGAUGUGAUGAACAGAGUUUACCAGUCCUUCUGGACCAGAAGAAUGGGACCACACUUUAGGGAUGACAGAACAGGCAGCUGAAGGAGGCCUAUGUCCCUGAGUGAAUAAUUUCUACAAUUCCAGUUCUGGAUUGUCUACUCUGAAUUAUUUCUAGGUGAAAAAAUAAUAAAUGUUUACCUUCUUUAAGUCUCUAUAUUCACUAGCCAUUUCUUUUAAAUCUCUGUGCAUACAAACCAACCUAAUAUUAAAAGAUAAAUGAAGCUUUGUACAACAACCAGACAUUUUAGCAGAAUGCAGAAUUAGAGCCCUUAAUAAACUUAAUAAUUCACUAUAGUUAGUUGAAUAUCAAGUGUUAAAGUGUUAGUGAUCCCUAAGAAUUUACUUAGAAGGUUAGCAUCCUCAUCAAAUCUCCCAUACAGAUAUAGAAUUGGGUAUACUGGUCUAAACUAAGGUGUAUUUCUUUUUCUUGAAAGGGAAGACUUAGUAACAGUGAAAAAAAUCACAGAAGGAGCAUUUCUGGAAUUCAAAGAGCCCAGGCAUUGCUACAAAACAGUUCCUUCUUAGUUUUCAAUGUUCUUGCUGGCAAAAGAUAUUACUGAUACCUUUCUUUUCAGCCCAAAUCUUUAUCUUUGAUGAAAAUGUUACAGUUGAUACACUUCUAUUAAAAAUAGCAAUUUCGGGGAUUCCUGGGUGGCUCAGUAGGUUUAGCGCCUGCCUUUGGCCCAGGGCGCGAUCCUGGAGUCCCGGGAUGGAGUCCCGCGUUGGGCUCCCGGCAUGGAGCCUGCUUCUCCCUCUGCCUGUCUCUCUCUCUCUCUCUCUCUCUCUCUCUCAUAAAUAAAUAAAUAAAUAAAUAAAUAAAUAAAUAAAUAAAUAAAUCUUUUUUAAAAAACAAUAGCAAUUUCAAUUUUACAAAACACCUAACCGGUACUCUUGAAAACUUCCAAUAUCAUGAAAAACAAUGAAGGAUUGAGAAACUGGCAUGGGCCAGAGCAGUUGAUAAGGGUAGUGUGGAUCCUGGAUUGGAUCCUGGAAAAGAAAAGCACUGUGGUGACAUCCAACUCAAGUCUGGAGUUUGAUAGUGAUAUGCUCAUACUGGAGUUUUCAUUGUGACAAAGUAGACUAACAGAAGAUGUGAACAAAAGGGGAAAGUGGAUGAGGGUAUGCAUACAGGAACUCUGUUUUAUCAUUACUUUUUUGUGCAUCUAAAAUCAUUAUAAAGGUUAAAAAUUUACUAUAAAAAGGGCACUAUAUUGUCAAUAGUCUGGUAGAUUGGUUGUGAUAAUAGGUAUAAAAUCAUGGACUUGUAGAAGGGAUCCAAAAAGUAGUAAUAUCCUUCCUUCCAUACAAACCCUUAAAAUCCCAUCAACUCUUUAAUUAUUAGACAAAUUUUUUGACAUACACUUUUUCUGACUUGGCAUACCUGAAAAAAUUAUUCUCUUAUCAUAAACUUACAUAACUUUGAAGAUGGUUAUGUUUUUCUAUCCUUUCCUUCAUCACCAAUUACCUAUUUGUCAUUGGCUUUUCCUCUUAUACUUCUUCCUUCCUUGAAGUCUUUUUUUCUUUGUGGUCUUUCUAAGUUUUACACAUAUGACUGAACUUAGGAUCCAAAUCAUACUAAGGGGCAUAUGUCCUCCUUCCUCAUGGUUCUCCCUUCUCCUCUCCCUUCCCAGGUUCUACACAGAGUAGGUUCUCAGUAUGUUUCUGUUAAAUUGACUUAAAUUAAUAAACAAGGAGUAUAGUGAAGGGACCAUUUCAUGAUUCCUGAGUGAUUUAUUACCUUUGCAAAGAUUCCAGCAUGAUGUCAGAUUUAAUUACAACACUAAACUUUUAGCUCUCUCAUAUUUAUUUCAAAGCACCAAGUUAGACAGAUUUUCCAGUACAUAAUGAGCUACUCUGUGAAUAUCAGAUGCCUCUGGGAACUCCAUGAACUCUUUCAAACAACCAGGAUAAAAACAGUGAAGGAAAUCCUCUUUAAGUAAAAUAAAAUCAUACCUAAUUUUGACCAAAAUUCCCAAAAUUGCCAAGAUUCCACUUAUUUACAAAGAGCAUUUGGAAAAUCAACAAACCAAUUUCUAUUUUUUUUUAAAUUCUAAGUCCUUUUUUGCUGAUUUAGCCUAUUUUAGUGUCUGGUUAUUUAUUUCUUAUACAAUACUUUUUUAUUACAGUGUAUUUUUAGUUUGUUGCAUCAACUAUUUUCUAUAUUACUUUACUUUUUCUGGUUCGAUAACAACAUUUUGAAGUUUGUUUUGGUAAAUUAUAAUAAAACGGACUACACAAAGAAGUCGGCUAGGAAGAAAGACAUGUCAACAAGACAAUGUCCAAUGGUACUACCAAGAAGCAGAACUUAAUGAGGAGGACAAGAAGAGAACCAAAUAUGAUAAGAAGAAAUAGUUUAGUGUGAUCUUCCAGUACAGCAAAGUGAAAUUUGAUUUAAAAGUUAAAUAUUCACAUUAGCCAAUCCUUCAAAUUGGGACCUGGCUUUGGAAUAGAAAUGUGGCCAGAAACACUGUUCUGGACAGCUCAGGUCUUCUCAGGCAUUAGUCAGGGCCCUGGAAGCAGAUGCUACUGAUGCUCUAUCCUUAUUCCCUUGGAUCCCUUGAUGAUUCUGGUGUAUUUUCAUUCCUAGCAGCCUGUACUCAUGCCUUUAUUGUAGGAUGACCCUCAGGCUACUGUAACCCACUUUGCUUAAAUCAGUGCUUCUCAAAGUAUGAUCUGCAAAUCAGAGCAUCAGCAUCACCUGCAAACUUGUUGGAACUGCAAGUUCUUAAGCCCAGCUGAAGAUGCACUGAAUCAGCAACUCUGGGGAUAUGGCUCCACAAUCUGUAUUUUAAUAAGCCCUCCAGGGGAUUCUGACACAUGUGUCAGUUCCACUGACCUAUUCAUAUAUAUUGAAAGCCAAGUGACUAGGAUUUUAUAUUUUGAGGGAGAAGCAAUCUAUAGCCAAUGUUGAUAGAUGUGAGUGUAUCCAACACACCAGAUACCCCACCCCUGGUAAGGACAAAUCAGAGGCAGGACCCAAACUGUCUCUAGAGCUCUCCUGUAGAAUGGAGAGAAAAUUACUCUCUGUGAGACUCUCUUGAUAGCACUCCCAUAUUUGGCCUCCUUCUCUUUACUUCCCUGCCUCACUGCCCUACUCCUUUACUAGUUUUUUUUUUUCUAGGACUAGUUCCUAAUAAAUCAUUUUCACAUGAUCCUUCAGCUCAGAGUCUGAUUCUAGGGAACUAUACAAAAAUAUAUCCUAUAGUGAAAAGAAAAAAUUCAACUUCAUUGUCAUAGCCCGGAACUCCGGCAUGACAUUAUCGAUUGUAACUAGACUCCAGGCACUAUGCUAGGGGCUGGGGAUAACAAGAUGAAUGGGGUUCUUUCUGUCCUCAGAGAACUUAGGUGUAGCGACAGUAGUGGUGGGUAGCAGACACAUGAAUGGAUAUUGUCAAUAGUUCAAUACUGAAAUUCUCAUCUGUGCUAGGAAAACACUUUCCCCCAAAAUUCCUGAAAGAGGCAAUAGGCCAAGCUAGCUGCUGAGUGUGGAUGAGGAUUUGUGAGUCAGGAUAUGGAAUGUGAACAAAAUAUUCCAGCCCAAACCAUGGACUGAGACAUGAACCCGAGCAAGAGAGAAAAAAAGUACAUGAUUUGGUGGUCGUGUGGUGUCGAGUUCAGAUUGGAAAGGGGCAGGUGAUGAAGCUGAAAAAAAAAAAAAAAGGAAAAAGUACUGAAGCACAGGAAGACUUCCAGGCCUUGCGAAGUAGCAGGCCUUUUGCUGUAGAUGAUGGGGUGUCUGCUGAUAGCUUUUAAGCAUGAGAGCAACUUGUUCAGAAGUGCAUAGAGGAAAAAAAAAAAAAAAAAGAAGAAGAAGUGCAUAGAGAGAUCCUUCUGGCUGAAUAAGAGGGCCUAUUCCAACAUCAGGGAGACCAAGUCAAAGACUGUAGGGAAUAGUCCAAGUGAGACCUACCAGGGGCCUGAGCUGGAGGAGGAUAUGUAACCCAGGAAAUAUUUAGGGGGUGAAAUUGGCAAGAUUUUGACUAUAUAAAUGUUGUACUGAAUGACGGGGAGGAGCUAGGCAAGGACAAAUCCAGGUUUCUGCCUUAAAUGAUGCAAUUAGCUUAGAGUCAUAAUCAUUUCCAUUUUGUCAGUUCAGAGUGAGGACUAAAACAGUCAUGCUGAGAACUGCUCCCCUACCUUGGGAAAGCUAGAUAACGACUAAAAUUCUAAAUCAACACAGUUGAUGGAAAACUUCAUCAGCGCAGACAGACGCAAGGCAGCUCUGAUUAGCACAGAUACAGAAUUGCCUCAUCAACAAAAACACUAGGCACAAUUAAUACACAAGCCCUUUCAGUUAAAUGCAAUUUAGGCAUGAUUACUUAAAUGGAAAGUUUAUGAAAUUAUCCAGUAUUUCUUAAGUAAUUAAUAAAAUUUGAAGUCUGGAGAGAAUUAGACAUAGAUCCAUGCAAAAGUUUCCUAAAGAAUAAACAAAAUGCAGAUGCAUGUGUGAGUGUUGGUGUGCAGGGAGCAAAAACACAAUUAAUGUUUGCUAUCAGCAAGGCAACCUGCAAAAUGAAUUCCACAAAUUACUACUUGGACAGAAGCACACACAACACCUAAUUUUGGUACAUAAAUAUUACCAUUAGAUGUCUCCGUUCUCUCAAAGCCAGAGCUUUCUGCCUGCAAGAAGGGAGGAGUUUGCAGAACUGACAUGGAAGAGGUUUUUACUGAUGCCAUUGUACCCAGGAGGGCCUACAGUGUAACCCAACCUGGCUGCAUCCUCUUGCACGUGGUACAUUGGGAGCAAUAGUGACAGAAUGGCAAAGCCAGUGCAAGAACUCAGCUCCCGUUCUAAGUGUCCAGUCUCUUAGGAAGGCCCCCUGGGUAAUAGAGAUGCACGGAUUCACAUCUCUCCUUCUUGUUGGCACCCAUUGACUUCAACUCCUUGGUAUGCAAAAUGAAAGAAAUAGCAAUAGGAAAGAUUGGUUUCAGGCUUUACUAGAAAUAAUGGAGAUGCCAGUUGGCCUCAUCAUCCCACCAUCAAUCUGAGAAAAACUUCUUUUAAAGAAGUGCUCUGGGUCGGUGAAAGCAAGAGACAGUGAUGGGAAUCAAAUGCUAUCCCUACCACCAAAGUAGCUGCAUUCUUUCUCAGAAAUUUAAAGAUUCCAAUCUCAGACUGACUAAAGCAAAGGCAUCUGUCUGUCUUAGAACAUAAGCAGAAAUCAGUCAGUAUGGACACUGCCAUAGCUACAGGAGAGUCGAGAAGCUACAUGGCACAGAGACUUCAGUGGAGGGGCUGGGGCUGUCAGGAUAGAGAGGGAGUUGGAGAAAGUUAAAGAGUGAGAGGUGGCCCUUUAAGGGGACAGAGCGGUAGAAACUAUUUAUUACUCAGUACUAAUGCAUUCAAUAUUUCAAUGACGGAUGUGCUGGUACCACGUGGAUCAGAUGAAUAUCAGUCCUAGCAAACAAGAACAUUUUUCUUGUAUUAAACUCUCUAAAUCCCAAAAUGUGGAGCAUAGGUAGGGCAUGGCAGAGAACUUAAGGACAGUAAUUAAUUAAAUUGACUAUAAUGAUCAAGGGGAAAAAAGAUAAGGCAGGCUAGCUUUAAUGGCUAGAAGAAAUGACUUAAAUUAUCUAACUCAAGAGAAAGAAAAAGAAGGGAUUUAGCUAGAAGAUCUGAAAUUCAUAUUCCUGUAAAGGUGAAGUUCACAUAACUGCUUUUCUGGGACAGGUAACAGAAUGCUGGGGUGAUAAGUUAAGGACAGCAGCAUUUAUUCUUCUUUUCUUUUUUUUAAGAUUUUAUUUAUUUAUUCAUGACAGACACAGAGAGAGAGGCAGAGACACAGGCAGAGGGAGAAGGCUCCAUGCGGGGAGCCCGACGUGGGACUCGAUCCAGGGCUCCAGGAUCACACCCUGGGCUGAAGCCAGUCGCUAAACGCUGAGCCACUGGGGCUGCCAGGACAGCAGCAUUUCUCAGAAGAGUGUCAGGAUCCUCAGAAAAUUACUAAAAGUUUCUGAGGGGUCACAGGGAUCACAACCUGUAACCCCAAGAAUAUGGUUGUCUGAGCAAGAUGAGCAACCUCUCUCGAUUCCAGACCUUUCUGCACUUUCCUGACCUUCUAGCCUUAAAAGACACAGAAACAUCAGAGGCUGACUUUGGGCUUUGAUCUUGAGCUGGAGGAAUCUAAGAACAUCAGGAGAUACAGCGUGGGGGAUCGAUGGCAGCUGUGUGAACCAGGUUCCAACUCUAAUAAGUUGACGGAUCUGGCAUGUGCAGGACGCACAUGACCAUUGUCACAAAUGCUGCAGUGUCAGGAUGAAAGCAAAGAACUGGGAAAGCAUAAGUGCUUUACCCUACAAUGGUGGCUGGACGAUCGACAGCACAUACAUUCAAGGUGAUGGUACGUAGCCAUUAAAAUAACCUUCAUAGGGACGCCUGGGGGGCUCAGUGGUUGAGCAUCUGCCUCCGGCUCAGGUCAUGAUCCCAGGAUCCCAGGAUGGAGUCCCGCAUCGGGCUCCCUGCAUGGAGCCUGCUUCUCCCUCUGCCUGUGUCUCUGUGUGUGUGUGUGUCUCUCAUGGAUAAAUAAAUAAAAUCUUUAAAAAACAACCUUUGUAAAGACACUUAAUGAUGUUUUUUAAAAAACAUAAUGAAAGGGGAGGAUAUAAAAUGACCUGUACAGUUUGACACCAACUAACAACAACAAAACUCCUAAUAUCAGAAAAACCACCAAAGUAUUAAUAAAAUUUGGGUGGGCGGGGGGGACACUUGGGUGGCUCAGCAGUUAAAGUUCCUGCCUUCAGCCCAGGGAGUGAUCCCAGAGUCCCGGGAUCGAGUCCUAAUAUCAGGCCCCCUGCGUGGAGCCUGCUUCUCCCUCUACCUUUGUCUCUGCCUCUCUCUCUCUCUCUCUCUCUCUCUCUAUCUCUCUCUCUCUGUCUUUCAUUAAUAAAUAAAUAAAAUCUUUAAAAAAAUAAAAUAAAAUUUGGGUGUGGGGAUUGAGAUUUUGAGUGGCAUUUCUUUACCCUCCCAUUUAUUAUUAUUUUCCUAAUUUACUUUAAAUAAGCAUUUGUUAACACAAUGAAUUAAAAAUAAUAAUAAUGUGCUUUGGAUGAAGUGUACAUACUUCCAUGGAUUCUACAGGUAGUAAAUGUGGUCUUCUGAGAGGAAUUAUCCUUGGGUUCCAAAUUAGAAGUUAUAACAAUUUGUAUUCUCUUCUCAGGAGACCUUCUAAACAAAGGCCAAUGUUAGUGUGAGUGUAUGUGUGCAUGUUGUGUAAUGAGGAGGUUUCUCUUUAAGGAUACACACAUUUCUGGGGGGGCAUUUCUAUGCACUGGUUUGAAAAGCGUCCAUAAUUCUUUCAGAGUAUUUUUGAAAUUGUUCAAAUGUCUAAGACAAAUUAUUGCAGCUAUUAUGGUCCACAUUGAUUAAUAGCAAGCCAAAGAUAAAUUCAUUUCAAAAUUAACUUUUAUCUUGACAGUUUUUAUUAUUUUUUAAAGACAUAUAUGGCUUUCCACACAACACAUUGGUAAAGUCACCACCAUACCCCUGAGGUAGAAACUAUUAUCAUUCCACAGAAGGAUGAAGGAGAGGCUUAGGCAAGACAAGUCAUUCACUCAGGGUCAUGAUGGAGCUAAGAAAAAAAAAAAAAAAAAAAAAAAAAA